UGAGAAGUGGUUUAAUGAAAAAUAAGGGAUUUUGAUUUCCUUGAUGUAAGUUCGUUUCUUACCUUUUCAG
Molecule: transfer RNA, 70 nt
Filed under: Synallactes sp. Y30071
Lineage: Eukaryota; Metazoa; Echinodermata; Holothuroidea; Aspidochirotida; Synallactidae
Description: tRNA-Gln
Rfam family: tRNA
About the family: Transfer RNA (tRNA) molecules are approximately 80 nucleotides in length. Their secondary structure includes four short double-helical elements and three loops (D, anti-codon, and T loops).
Source: RNAcentral